UGGAUGCCCUGGCAGUCAGAGGCGAUGAAGGACGUGCUAAUCUGCGAUAAGCGUCGGUAAGGUGAUAUGAACCGUUAUAACCGGCGAUUUCCGAAUGGGGAAACCCAGUGUGUUUCGACACACUAUCAUUAACUGAAUCCAUAGGUUAAUGAGGCGAACCGGGGGAACUGAAACAUCUAAGUACCCCGAGGAAAAGAAAUCAACCGAGAUUCCCCCAGUAGCGGCGAGCGAACGGGGAGCAGCCCAGAGCCUGAAUCAGUGUGUGUGUUAGUGGAAGCGUCUGGAAAGGCGCGCGAUACAGGGUGACAGCCCCGUACACAAAAAUGCACAUGCUGUGAGCUCGAUGAGUAGGGCGGGACACGUGGUAUCCUGUCUGAAUAUGGGGGGACCAUCCUCCAAGGCUAAAUACUCCUGACUGACCGAUAGUGAACCAGUACCGUGAGGGAAAGGCGAAAAGAACCCCGGCGAGGGGAGUGAAAAAGAACCUGAAACCGUGUACGUACAAGCAGUGGGAGCACGCUUAGGCGUGUGACUGCGUACCUUUUGUAUAAUGGGUCAGCGACUUAUAUUCUGUAGCAAGGUUAACCGAAUAGGGGAGCCGAAGGGAAACCGAGUCUUAACUGGGCGUUAAGUUGCAGGGUAUAGACCCGAAACCCGGUGAUCUAGCCAUGGGCAGGUUGAAGGUUGGGUAACACUAACUGGAGGACCGAACCGACUAAUGUUGAAAAAUUAGCGGAUGACUUGUGGCUGGGGGUGAAAGGCCAAUCAAACCGGGAGAUAGCUGGUUCUCCCCGAAAGCUAUUUAGGUAGCGCCUCGUGAAUUCAUCUCCGGGGGUAGAGCACUGUUUCGGCAAGGGGGUCAUCCCGACUUACCAACCCGAUGCAAACUGCGAAUACCGGAGAAUGUUAUCACGGGAGACACACGGCGGGUGCUAACGUCCGUCGUGAAGAGGGAAACAACCCAGACCGCCAGCUAAGGUCCCAAAGUCAUGGUUAAGUGGGAAACGAUGUGGGAAGGCCCAGACAGCCAGGAUGUUGGCUUAGAAGCAGCCAUCAUUUAAAGAAAGCGUAAUAGCUCACUGGUCGAGUCGGCCUGCGCGGAAGAUGUAACGGGGCUAAACCAUGCACCGAAGCUGCGGCAGCGACACUGUGUGUUGUUGGGUAGGGGAGCGUUCUGUAAGCCUGUGAAGGUGUACUGUGAGGUAUGCUGGAGGUAUCAGAAGUGCGAAUGCUGACAUAAGUAACGAUAAAGCGGGUGAAAAGCCCGCUCGCCGGAAGACCAAGGGUUCCUGUCCAACGUUAAUCGGGGCAGGGUGAGUCGACCCCUAAGGCGAGGCCGAAAGGCGUAGUCGAUGGGAAACAGGUUAAUAUUCCUGUACUUGGUGUUACUGCGAAGGGGGGACGGAGAAGGCUAUGUUGGCCGGGCGACGGUUGUCCCGGUUUAAGCGUGUAGGCUGGUUUUCCAGGCAAAUCCGGAAAAUCAAGGCUGAGGCGUGAUGACGAGGCACUACGGUGCUGAAGCAACAAAUGCCCUGCUUCCAGGAAAAGCCUCUAAGCAUCAGGUAACAUCAAAUCGUACCCCAAACCGACACAGGUGGUCAGGUAGAGAAUACCAAGGCGCUUGAGAGAACUCGGGUGAAGGAACUAGGCAAAAUGGUGCCGUAACUUCGGGAGAAGGCACGCUGAUAUGUAGGUGAAGUCCCUCGCGGAUGGAGCUGAAAUCAGUCGAAGAUACCAGCUGGCUGCAACUGUUUAUUAAAAACACAGCACUGUGCAAACACGAAAGUGGACGUAUACGGUGUGACGCCUGCCCGGUGCCGGAAGGUUAAUUGAUGGGGUUAGCGCAAGCGAAGCUCUUGAUCGAAGCCCCGGUAAACGGCGGCCGUAACUAUAACGGUCCUAAGGUAGCGAAAUUCCUUGUCGGGUAAGUUCCGACCUGCACGAAUGGCGUAAUGAUGGCCAGGCUGUCUCCACCCGAGACUCAGUGAAAUUGAACUCGCUGUGAAGAUGCAGUGUACCCGCGGCAAGACGGAAAGACCCCGUGAACCUUUACUAUAGCUUGACACUGAACAUUGAGCCUUGAUGUGUAGGAUAGGUGGGAGGCUUUGAAGUGUGGACGCCAGUCUGCAUGGAGCCGACCUUGAAAUACCACCCUUUAAUGUUUGAUGUUCUAACGUUGACCCGUGAUCCGGGUUGCGGACAGUGUCUGGUGGGUAGUUUGACUGGGGCGGUCUCCUCCUAAAGAGUAACGGAGGAGCACGAAGGUUGGCUAAUCCUGGUCGGACAUCAGGAGGUUAGUGCAAUGGCAUAAGCCAGCUUGACUGCGAGCGUGACGGCGCGAGCAGGUGCGAAAGCAGGUCAUAGUGAUCCGGUGGUUCUGAAUGGAAGGGCCAUCGCUCAACGGAUAAAAGGUACUCCGGGGAUAACAGGCUGAUACCGCCCAAGAGUUCAUAUCGACGGCGGUGUUUGGCACCUCGAUGUCGGCUCAUCACAUCCUGGGGCUGAAGUAGGUCCCAAGGGUAUGGCUGUUCGCCAUUUAAAGUGGUACGCGAGCUGGGUUUAGAACGUCGUGAGACAGUUCGGUCCCUAUCUGCCGUGGGCGCUGGAGAACUGAGGGGGGCUGCUCCUAGUACGAGAGGACCGGAGUGGACGCAUCACUGGUGUUCGGGUUGUCAUGCCAAUGGCACUGCCCGGUAGCUAAAUGCGGAAGAGAUAAGUGCUGAAAGCAUCUAAGCACGAAACUUGCCCCGAGAUGAGUUCU
This 2761-nucleotide ribosomal RNA is filed under the name Escherichia coli. RNAcentral describes it as "bacterial LSU rRNA". It matches the Rfam family "Bacterial large subunit ribosomal RNA". The record is from RNAcentral. Lineage: Bacteria; Pseudomonadati; Pseudomonadota; Gammaproteobacteria; Enterobacterales; Enterobacteriaceae.